Molecule: long non-coding RNA, 1040 nt
Organism: Carya illinoinensis
Lineage: Eukaryota; Viridiplantae; Streptophyta; Magnoliopsida; Fagales; Juglandaceae
Exons: 2
Source: RefSeq, a predicted model, not a curated record
UGGAUGGAGUCUUCAAUAUUUCUAAAACUAGAGUCAUAUUUACUUUAAGCAGGAUGGAGCAAAUAUUUAAUUUAUUAUUUUUUUAUAACUCUCUCUCUUCUCUCGAUAUUUUCUCAUCAAACUACCAUCGGUUUCUUUCCCUCUAAGUUUUUCCCCACUUUCACCUCUCUACUUCUUUUCUUUGUUUUGCCCUCGUGAAAUCGUAGAACUGGGGAGAACACUGAAAUUUUGGACUGUACCAUUAGGCACACCAUCCAAACUCAAGUAUUUAUCUUCCAAAAAUUCCCAACGAGACUGGUCUUCACUCUGCAUGCCUUGUUGAAACCCUAACUUAAGCUUGGCUAGACGCCCAUUCUCUUUGCCCCAAGGUAUGCUAAUUUCUUUAUCUCUUUUAUUCAAUUUAUUCACCCUCCUAUUAUAUCAAUGCAAAAGCCCAAGCUACUUGAUUCUGGAAAUUUCCUUUGUCAUAUUUACAUGAAGUUUUUUAUUGGAUUCAUACGAAUAACUAGAGGUGUGCUAGACGCCCACUCUCUUUGCCCCAAGACUUGGCAAUAUGCAUUCAGUCUUUCAACAAAUCAUUCAGGUAUAUUGGUGCCUUGAAGCAGAUCAGUGAUUAUAACUGCUACAUGGGUUGUCUUUUAGAGCUUGUGGAUUACUAAACAGUAAACACUAGUUUGUUAUUGGUGACUUAGAGUCCGUCUCAUAAAAUUACUCUACAAACGCUAAAUCUAUUGAAGACCAAAAUCUCUCAUCUUCAUUUUGGGGAUGACUUACAUAUUUUUUGUAGAAGGGAAAGCGAACCUUUUUAGCUUGUGAACAUAGGCCAGAUAAUGUGUAGUACUGAUUUUUUUUUUUGAAGUGUGGAAUGGGGGUUACUCUGGCUUUUAUUGCAGCUAUCAAUGUCAACAUACACAUAGUGCCUCCUAUUUGAUUUCAAAUUCAAUGUAUGAAACUAGGAAGUACCCAGUCUACAUUUUGAUUGAAGUUUGAAUAGAAGAAAGUAUGAUUUGUAAUAUAGUUGGAUGGAAAAUAUAGAAAUU